Molecule: transfer RNA, 72 nt
Filed under: Marmota marmota marmota (Alpine marmot)
Lineage: Eukaryota; Metazoa; Chordata; Mammalia; Rodentia; Sciuridae
Also listed under: 2 other names
Rfam family: tRNA
About the family: Transfer RNA (tRNA) molecules are approximately 80 nucleotides in length.
Source: Rfam by way of RNAcentral
UGGGAUGUAGCUCAGUGAUUGAGCACUUACCUCGCAUGUUUGAGGCCCGAGGUUCAACUCCUAGUACCACAA